RNAcentral lists this transfer RNA (72 nucleotides) under Cipangopaludina ussuriensis. RNAcentral describes it as "tRNA-Leu". Lineage: Eukaryota; Metazoa; Mollusca; Gastropoda; Architaenioglossa; Viviparidae. The record is from RNAcentral.
AUAGGAGUGGCAGAUUAAUAUGUGUUAGAUUUAGGUUCUAAGUAAUAAAAAGUUCUAUCUUUUUCUCUUGUA